GCAUCUUCUUGGGUUAAAAACUCCGGUGGUUAAAGAUGGGCAUGCGUUGUAUUAGCUAGUUGGUGAGGUAACGGCUCACCAAGGCAACGAUACAUAGGGGGACUGAGAGGUUAACCCCCCACAUUGGUACUGAGACACGGACCAAACUCCUACGGGAGGCAGCAGUGAGGAAUAUUGGUCAAUGGACGCAAGUCUGAACCAGCCAUGCCGCGUGCAGGAAGACGGCUCUAUGAGUUGUAAACUGCUUUUGUACUAGGGUAAACGCUUCUACGUGUAGGAGCCUGAAAGUAUAGUACGAAUAAGGAUCGGCUAACUCCGUGCCAGCAGCCGCGGUAAUACGGAGGAUCCAAGCGUUAUCCGGAUUUAUUGGGUUUAAAGGGUGCGUAGGCGGUUUGAUAAGUUAGAGGUGAAAUACCGGGGCUCAACUCCGGAACUGCCUCUAAUACUGUUGAACUAGAGAGUAGUUGCGGUAGGCGGAAUGUAUGGUGUAGCGGUGAAAUGCUUAGAGAUCAUACAGAACACCGAUUGCGAAGGCAGCUUACCAAACUAUAUCUGACGUUGAGGCACGAAAGCGUGGGGAGCAAACAGGAUUAGAUACCCUGGUAGUCCACGCAGUAAACGAUGAUAACUCGUUGUCGGCGAUACAC
RNAcentral lists this ribosomal RNA (647 nucleotides) under uncultured bacterium. Its description in RNAcentral is "bacterial SSU rRNA". It matches the Rfam family "Bacterial small subunit ribosomal RNA", at positions 188 to 834 of the family's 1533-position model. The record is from RNAcentral.